Molecule: ribosomal RNA, 440 nt
Filed under: uncultured bacterium
Lineage: Bacteria
Description: partial 16S ribosomal RNA
Rfam family: Bacterial small subunit ribosomal RNA
Source: RNAcentral
CCUACGAGUGGCAGCAGUGGGGAAUAUUGCACAAUGGGGGAAACCCUGAUGCAGCGACGCCGCGGGAGUGAAGAAGUAAUGCGAUAUGUAAAGCUCUAGCAGCAGGGAAGAAAAUGACGGUAACUGAGGAAGAAGCGCAGGCUAACGAAGUGCACGCAGCCGCGGUAAUACGUAGGGGGCAAGCGUUAACCGGAUUUACUGGGUGGAAGGGGAGCGUAGACGGCAGUGCAAGUCUGGAGUGAAAGGCGGGGGCUCAACCCCCGGACUGCUCUUGACACUGUACGUCUGGAGUGCAGGAGAGGUAAGUGUAAUUCCUAGUGUAGCGGUGAAAUGCGUAGAUAUUAGGAGGAACCCCAGUGGCGAAGGCGGCUUACUGGACUGUACCUGACGUUGAGGCUCGAAAGCGUGGGGAGCAAACAGGAUUAGAUACCCCGGUAGUC